Long non-coding RNA from Zalophus californianus (California sea lion), 615 nucleotides. RefSeq lists it as uncharacterized. The record is from RefSeq and is a predicted model, not a curated record. The transcript has 3 exons. NCBI's taxonomy places the organism in Eukaryota, Metazoa, Chordata, Mammalia, Carnivora, Otariidae.
UACUCAUUGGACCAGACACAAGAAUAUAGUGAUGAAGAGAAUAUUUUUUUAUGACCCUUACUUUCUACUGAAGGAAGUUGAAAAUAACAAAGAUAAACAGAACUCCCCUGGUGAUGAAAACUGAAGAAAAAUCCAUCACUGAGGCACUCAAAGUUUAUAAUCCUUACCAGUGACCUUUCCAUGAACCCAAAUUUAAGGACGUUUUUAAAAGAGUGUCAAAAUCUGCCCAGAGCGCUGUCCAGCCCUGGGACAACUCCUGCUGAGGCAGAAGAAAGGGAAACCCUCCUGCUGGUCUUUGAAGAAGCCGCUGGACAGACUGAGCCACAACCACAGUCCUUUGAGAAGAGUCCACUUCCUCUGGCACCAGCGAAUGAACCAGGACUUCAGGCUGCCAUACACACCGUCCUCACUGUUCCUGCCAAUCUUGUGUUUGGGGGAUGACCGGCCGUUUAAAACACACAGUGCAUUCUUACCACGGAGCAUCAGCUUCUUCCUUCAAGUCUUCCCCUGCCCGUUGCAAGUUUUGAAUAGAUUCCAGUGUUCUCAAAUUCAAUUCUAACACUUUUUGCCAGCUCAUUAAUUAUUGUUGGGGAGGAACAGAGCUCUAGAAUUACU